Hibiscus syriacus is the source of this 450-nucleotide long non-coding RNA. RefSeq lists it as uncharacterized. Lineage: Eukaryota; Viridiplantae; Streptophyta; Magnoliopsida; Malvales; Malvaceae. The transcript is spliced from 5 exons. The record is from RefSeq and is a predicted model, not a curated record.
UUUUCAACUUUCCAAGUUCAUCAAUAUUUAAGACCAAAGCUGUGUGAUUUGUAUGAAAAUGAUUCAAUCUUUGACAAAUUUGAGCGUUGCCUAAGUGGUGAUGGAUUGCGAGUGGCAACAGGUUCCUACAGCAAUUUUUUCCGUGUAUUUGGUUGUGCCCCGGGAAGCACUGAGGCAACAACUCUGGAAGCCAGCAAAAAUCCAAUGAGAAGACAAGUUCAGACUCCCUCAAGGCCUUCCAGAUCCCUAAGUAGUAUAACACGUGUUGUCAGACGAGGAGCAGAAAACCCCGGAGUUGAUGCGAACGGAAAUUCUUUUGAUUUCACAACAAAGUUGCUGCACCUAGCAUGGCACCCUACUGAAAACUCAAUUGCUUGUGCUGCGGCAAACAGCUUGUACAUGUACUAUGCGUAAAAGAUGGUCCAAGAAGAAAUGUAUUUGCUUGGUUAA